Molecule: long non-coding RNA, 423 nt
Organism: Neofelis nebulosa (Clouded leopard)
Lineage: Eukaryota; Metazoa; Chordata; Mammalia; Carnivora; Felidae
Exons: 4
Source: RefSeq, a predicted model, not a curated record
GUAAAAGAGCCCUUCUAAGUCAAUUAAAAUAUGAAUCUGAAGUAAAUGGAUCUCUGGGGAUCAGAUGGACUGACGACUGAACUCACAACCCCUGUCUCCCUCCCCAAAAGAAGUUACAAGGUCUGAGUAUUUUUAUUCUGGAAAAAUACCAAGAUUGUCAGCACUCUAUUGGGUCAGAGGAGAAGACACGACUGGGAAAGGACAUCAGGAGGACGUGUCAUGGCUCCAUCAGCCACAAGUACUACCUGGAAGUGGAACAUGUCUCCACACCUAUGACAGAGCCUGCUUGUUGAUCCCCACAUGCAUCCAACCAAUAGUAACCAAGCAUGAAUGGAUACAAGUAUCUGAAGACUUAGACACAAAGCAAUGUUUCACGAUAGAUUUCAACAUUGCAUGGCCAUGCAGGAGGUUCAAAAUUUCUUC